CCUACGGGAGGCAGCAGUAGGGAAUAUUGCUCAAUGGGGGAAACCCUGAAGCAGCAACGCCGCGUGGAGGAUGACGGUUUUAUGAUUGUAAACUCCUUUUGUUAGAGAAGAUAAUGCCGGUCUCUUCCGACUAAUCACCGGCGAACUCAGUGCCAGACGCCGCGGUACUACGGAGGGUGCACGCGUUACUCGGAAUCACUGGGCGUAAAGGGUGGUGAGGCGGGCUUGUAAGUCAGGUGCGAAAUCCUGUAGCUUAACUACAGAACUGCAUUUGAAACUAGGGGUCUAGAGUGUGGGAGAGGUAGGUGGAAUUCUUGGUGUAGGGGUAAAAUCCGUAGAUAUAAGGAAGAACACCAGUGGCGAAGGCAGAAUACUGGAGGAUAACUGACGGUGAGGCGCGAAAGCGUGGGGAGCAAACAGGAUUAGAUACCCGUGUAGUC
Molecule: ribosomal RNA, 440 nt
Filed under: uncultured bacterium
Lineage: Bacteria
Description: partial 16S ribosomal RNA
Rfam family: Bacterial small subunit ribosomal RNA
Source: RNAcentral